UUUUACAUUUGACAGCAGAGAUAAAUUUGGAUCCGGAUAAAUAUGUUAUAAGUAAACAUUUACCAUCACGAAAAGGGAGAUCAUGGUGAUACCAAAAGUAGUACAUGUCUAGCAGUUAAAGGUUUAGAGACAGAAGCUUUAUAUAUUUGAAGGACAUGGGACAAAGACAUGGCUGCAAAUAAAUACAAACCCAAGGUAUAGGGUUUGAGAAAAAGAAAACAUGAUUUGAUGGGGUUUUCAUGGUAUAGAACCUUGAUCAUGAAGAUGAAUUUGAUGGGCUGAACAAUCAUUGCUCAGUGUAUUUUAAAACGAAAAGGGUAGACUGCAGCGGGGCCUUAAUAUGUAUGUUGGGCUAUAACGGGCUAUAAUCAAAGGUUUCUGAUUGGUCUGGUUAUUUACGAUUUUCAUUAAAAAAAUGACAAUGGCAUUUGGCUGUAAAUAACUUGAAAAAGCAGGGGCAAAAACCUAUUAGUGGAUAAACAAAUUACAGGAUAGAAAAUCUGGAAACUGGUGGCUAAGUUUAAACAAUGAACUAGUAGGAUAUUGGACGGAGGAAUUAUUUACGACCUUAGCUGAUCAUGCAGAGUCCAUAGAAUGGGCUGGCGAAAUCAUCAACUCACAGAGUUUCAGCCGAGACACGAAGACCCAGAUGGGUUCUGGCCACUUCCCUGAUGAAGGCUUCGGGAAAAGCGGCUAUUUUCGCAACUUGGAAGUUGUCUAUGACAACAACAGUCUCCAAUCAAUCCAAAACUUGAAGGCAAUAACAACAAAUCCAGAAUGCUACAAAAUCAAAGAUCUUCGUACAAGAGAAUGGGGGCACUCAUUUCUUCUUCGGAGGCCCGGGGUUUGGCCAAACGGCGGGAUUCAGGGGCCGUUUCUUCGGCAUUGAGAUUUGGUUUUUUAUAUCUUUUUGAGCUUAUUUGCUAUUAUCGUUUAGUAUCUGUCUUUUUAUAUUUUAACUAUGUUGUAAAAGAAAAAAACUUAUGAGUGGGUUUUGCAUUCUACAUUUGUGCUUCUUAAUAA
Molecule: long non-coding RNA, 1023 nt
Organism: Raphanus sativus (radish)
Lineage: Eukaryota; Viridiplantae; Streptophyta; Magnoliopsida; Brassicales; Brassicaceae
Exons: 3
Source: RefSeq, a predicted model, not a curated record